This 34570-nucleotide long non-coding RNA is filed under the name Brachypodium distachyon (stiff brome). Its description in RNAcentral is "long non-coding RNA (BDIS_LNC001806)". The stretch from base 27336 to 27471 matches the Rfam family "MIR1120/MIR1122 microRNA precursor family". The record is from RNAcentral. Lineage: Eukaryota; Viridiplantae; Streptophyta; Magnoliopsida; Poales; Poaceae.
GAGGGAGAGAGAAAAGUGGAGGCAAAAGGAUAAAAGUAGGUCCUUUGGUCCAUAGCUUUUGUGUGCACCAUGAGAGAAAAGUAGGGUUUGGUCCAUGGUCCACCAUGGACCAAGGGCCCUCCUCUCACUUUUCUUGCUCCCCACUCUAACUCAUUUGACCCCUUGACCAUGGCAUGAGAGGCUUGACUUGUUGACUAGUUUUCCUCUGCCACGUAGGAUUGACCGCGCCACGUAGGUGUCUUUGACUCGUGCUUGCGGAAUGUUGACUUGGUCGCCAUCACAUAGGAUUUACGGCUCGGCCCAUAUAAGGGUUUAUUUUACUACUAUUCUUCAAAUUUUAUUUGAGUGUAUAUGUGUAGUGAGGUUUAUUAAUUUUGCAUUUCGAAAAAAUCAAUCGUGAACAUGGUUCGUGAAGGAACUUUUAAUUUCCUAUUUUCAUACUGGUCUAAUAGCACAUACCAGUGACAUGCCUUUGUCAUUUUUUUGUGCUUUAAAAAUAAUACAAAUACAAUAAUAAAUAUCUUUAAUAAAGAUGUUUUGCACGGGACACCUUGCUAGUUCUUUAAUUAAUGCAAAAAAGGGAAAUAUCAGGAAAACAUAGCUUAUGCAUUUUUUUUGUAAAUCCGGUACGCAUAUCCAUUUAACUGGUUUAAGUAACACUAAAGUAACAUAUCUUGGAGGGAAGCGCCGUCGCCGCGUCGUAUAAUUGCCUUAAAAAAAAGAUACUCUUUCCGUUUCAUAAUUUUUAUCUCAAAAUUUGCCCCCAAAAUAAUGUAUUUAUUUAUAAGAAAUGUUUAGAUUCAUGUAAUAUUUCGACAAAAAUUAUUAAACUGAGGGAGUAUCUCUUGUCCGUCGAGCACAUACUGCAUAAGCAUGCACACGCAGGUUGUGUCUCUGGUCUCUUCUGCGGUCAUUUGCAGUUUCGCGCUAAACUGACUAACGAACACUUCAAAGUUUAAAAAAAUAAAAAAAAAAAUAGCGAGAGCACCUGGUUGCGGGCUUGCUGCAGGAGCUCAAAGUUAAAUUGAUGCUCCUGUCGCCUAUAUAUACGAGCCAGUAGCUCCUUCAUCACAGCAUCAAGAUCACCACCACAAGUGCAUCUGUGCAAAGCGUGAAAAACAGAGCAAAACAUCCUCUGCCUCAGCCCGCGAAGCCAGCUCCUCUCCCCUGUUCCUACUCUGUUUCCCUCACUCACUGACUCACUCGAGAGUUCCUAGUGGAACGCGAGGCUUUGCUCGGGACCCGGCCAUGGUGGCGAUCAAGGCGCCGAGCUCCAUCGACCACGCGAACCCGCUGACCAAGUCCCCCAAGGCCGCAGCAGCAGCAGCAGCAGCGAUCCCGACGGUGGACCUGUCGUCCCCGGGCGCGGCGAGGGCCGUGGCGGAUGCCUGCCGCGGCGUGGGCUUCUUCCGGGCCACCAACCACGGCAUCCCCAGCUCGCUCGCCGCAGCGCUCGAGGCCCGCGCCAUGGCCUUCUUCGCGCUCCCGCACGAAGACAAGGUGGACGCCACCAUUGCCGCGGCCGCCCGGAGGCCCUUCGGGUACGGCAGCAGGAGCAUCGGCUCCAACGGCGACGUCGGCUGGCUCGAGUACCUCCUCCUCUCCCUCGGCUCAAACUCAAACUCCAGCUCCAUCCCAGGAGCUUCCUCCCUCCCGCCAUCGCUCCGGGCGGCGCUGGAGGAGUACACGGGAGCGGUGAGGAACGCGAGCGGGAAGGUGCUGGAGCUAAUGGCGGAGGGGCUGGGGAUGCAGGAGAGAUGUGCGCUGAGAAGGAUGGUGGAUGGAAGCGAGGAAGAGCUUGUCAGGGUGAACCAUUACCCGCCGACCAAGGAAGAAGACUGCGUGGCGGGGAUGACGGGGUUCGGGGAGCACACGGACCCGCAGAUCAUCUCCCUGCUCCGGUCCAACCGCACGGCCGGGCUCCAGAUUAAGCUCCAAGGACCCGACGCGCCAUGGGUCAACGUGGCUCCCGACCCGGAUUCCCUCUUCGUCAACGUCGGCGACUGCUUGCAGGUGCUGACGAACGGGCGGUUCAGGAGCGUGAAGCACAGGGUGGUGGCGCCGGAAGGGGCGCAGGCGUCGAGGCUGUCGGUGAUCUACUUCGGCGGGCCGGCGCCGGCGCAGAGGAUCGCGCCGCUGCCGGAGCUGAUGAGGGAGGGCGAGCAGAGCCUCUACAGGGACUUCACCUGGGGGGAGUACAAGGCGGCUGCCUACAAGACCCGCCUCGGCGACAACCGCCUCGGCCCCUACGAGCUGCGCAACGUCGCAGAUACUAAUCCGACGGCUCUGAUCACCGCCUCCAAGGAACCCACAGCCGCCGAUCACUGCUGCAGCAACAGCAGCAGCAGCAGCGCCGCCUGCGUCGUCGUCCAGCCGCCGCACGUAGCACAAGUGCACUAGCUAAGCUAGCUGAUGUCCGGCCGGCGGCUACUGUCGAUCGUUGGUCGGUCGUUUGAUGUGUAAUCCAGAUGUGGUAACUAAAGCUAGCUGUACGUGUGCCUGCCUGCUUUCCCAGCCCAAAAUUGGCAUGCGCCUGCGAAAAUGCCUCUCCCGCAUGCUCUGCUUCGUCCCGGUUUCAGUUUGUCCUUUCUGGGAAAACAUUUGUAACUUCCGCUAGUAGUAGUAGUAGGCUCGUAGCUGCAAGCCUGCAAGUGUGCUGCACCCUUUUGUCACCGGCAGUUUAACAGCUUGAAUCGCACGCUAUAUGCUGCCUGGUGUACUGUAAAUUAACGGCCCUAUUGUUCCGAUUGUCUUUGUGUGUUACUUACUUCUAGAGUACAAGUUAACUGGAGUACUAAGUGACAACGUUGUAAAAAAGCCCCCCUCUUCGCUUCUUUGGGGCCUUUUGUGCCGUAUAAGAAGUUAAGUACUUCAGAGGAAGAAGGAAACAGUUCAGUUUAGAUUCUACACGGUGCCAACCCCCGAUGCAUCAUCAAGACAUCAAGGUUCAGAUCAGACGACAGGGCUCGAGCCGUGCUCGGUAACAGCUCACGUCCGCUUGUUACAACUAGACGAGCCCCGUACGUUGUCGUGGAAAUUUUUAGUUAACAUACGUGAGCCCACGUUGUUGAGAACAUACAUGAAUGAAAAAUAGCAACAAAAGAGUAUUCAGUGAAAUGUAUAAUGGAAUUGUAUGAUAAAUUAUAGAUCAUUCACUUAGUAAAAAUAGCUUGAUGAAAAAUAGCAUGCAUGCAUGUGCAAAAAAUAUGAGUGUUUCACUAAAUAGAUAUGAACAAAUUAAUAGUGUGAUGAUGUGGCAUGCUUGCAUGUUGAGAGAAAUCAAGUAGCAGUAGCAUGUUCUUCUCCUUAGAUAUGGAAGAUUAGUGCUGUGCGUGGUACGGUUCGAGCUGAUCCAAGAGAAACGUGGUAUCUACGGAUCGGAUGUUCGGUUUACAAAAAAAAUCGGAACAACUAAAUCCUAUCCAAUUGAACCAUUGAUUCACCGGUUCGAACCUUCCUGUUCCUCAGGCCGAGGCAGCGAUUGAUCUCUCCAAUUCCUCGAUUUGCUGCUGCUGCCGCCGCCGCCGCUAAGCCCCACCGUGGUCGCCGCCGCCGUCUCCUUCAGUGCAAGUGAUCACAGUUCGCACCGCCUGCAAAUCCGCUCCCUCCCCACCCCCUCAGCGGCUCGCCGCCUUCAAAGCCGAAGCCAAGACGACUCCGCCGCUAAGACCAUCGGCGGCCGCCUCCGCAUCCCACGCCGCCACCGGGUGGAUUCGUCUCCAUCGCGCCGGCGCCCCCAACUCCCCGCCAACCUCCACCAUUACCCUGCUGUCGAUUCAGCGAGAUUGAAGUUUUUCUACCUCCGUCCCAGGCGCGCACUGCAGCCGAGCAGGCGACGAAAAUAACUCCUCCAUUACCCUGCUGUCGGCAACCUUCUUCGAGCUUUGAGCUAUUCGGCUUUUCCGGCCUGCAGCAGAGCAGCCGACGAGAGCCCUCUGGCAAGACGAAGCAUGCUGUUCUUUUCGGUAUGCAGUAUGCGCAGGCAAUUUAGGUUCGAACCAAAAGAUCCAUUGGAUCGUGUGGAUCACGGAUGCUGCUCCAAUGGAUCGAACCUUUUUACUCCCUUGCACCCUAGGUACGUGAAGUUUGGUGCGGUUCAGAGCCGGUACGAGCCACGCCCACCCCUAGUUACAAUCCGUUUUACUAAACCAACUAGUGGAAUGUCCGUGCUUCGUGACGGCUGAUGUUCAACAUAUAAUGGAAACGAAUAUUGAAAAGAAGGUGCAUAUCGUUUGCACGGAAUACAUAUCGGCCAUACCCAAUUGCUAUGAUAACAAAAUUCGACAAUACCAAAACAUUGAAAAACGACGAUAAAUAAUAUGAGAACUCAAGAAUACAGAACUUGGUUCAUACAUAGGAUGCGGUACAAACAGAUCUAUCUAAAGUACCACAUUAAAUAACAUCAAAGAAAGGUAAACUGGAACCAACCUAUAAUAGGGCAAGCUUGUUCAAGUAUAUUACAAUAAAAAUAUGCCUGGAAGGCAAAUUGGAAACAAAGAUCAUGAUUAGUGACAACAAAAACACUUACCACAUCUAUUAGCUGAUGAAAUGGUAGGAGCAAACCUUCACUAACAGCAUACAAGAACGAUGUCGCCAUUCUCUACAGCCUCCCAGAUAUUUUCAAGCCUCUCAUUCCUACAAGGACUUGAGUUGAUAUUAACAACUGGCACAGUUUGGUACCUCUUUUGUACAGUAGGAUAGAAUCACAUAAGGUAGAUUAUAUGUAUCCUGGAGGUUAUGGUAGAUUAAUAUAGACAACUUGUAACAUAUACAUUUUUAUAUUAGUGAUAUACAAGAAAUGGAAGUUGAAGGACUCAGCUACUUAUGGCUAAUGAAUUUGUUCAGGGUUCAGAAGACCGUAACCGGAUGGUUUGAGUUUCCAACGCAUUUGCAGCAUUGCCUUUUUCAAAUUUUAGUAAGCCCCAAAAUUACACCACUGAAAUUAAGCAACCAAACUCAGUAAAGGGAUACGUUCAAAAUGCAGAUAUUACCUUAUUACAUCCAAACAAAACGUAUGAAAUAUCAUGUUUAUGGGAAUUCCUAGAUUAGUGUGAAUAGUCCCAAGAGGAGCAACAAUAUCACCAACAUCCUCCCCGGAAGGCCGAAACAUGGCCCUUAUAGAUUUGGGAUAACACAACAAACCUACAGAUGCAAAGCAUGACAGUGAAACUUUGCUCAUAUGUCAGCUUAUUAGUGCAACCAGAAAACCAUAAUGCUUUUAGAAAAUAUUGGUCACUUGGAAAAAUAAAUAAACACAGAUUCUAGAGUACUAAGUGACAAUGUGUUACCGGUAUUAUGAGCAGCUCUGCAGAAAUCAAAGUUCAGUUCUCACAAACUCAGCUUCAUAUUUCAGUCUAUUUGUUGUUCACCUUUAACCCCACUUCAGGUGGGUUUCAUUCUCAUGCUUCAUGAUAGCAUAAGCAGCAAGUAUACAGUACCUUAGUCUUAAAAAAACAUAUAAUUUUCUUCCCUGUUACAUUGUGUCGUCAGUGGUGUUCCCCAUAUAAUUGACAUAUAUUCUUUGAACAUUCUAAAAGAAAAAAGGGGAUCAAACUUGUUACACACAUGUUCCCCAAAUAAUUGACUUUCUCCUCUAUCAAAAUCUAUUUGACAGAGAGAAUGGGUUAAAAUUCAGAUAUAUUGCCAGACUUACAGUUGUACAUAAUUGAAGUUAAGAACAAAGCAUUUCAAAAAUAAGAAACAAGGGAAUAUGAAACAUAUGAAAUUUGUAAACAAAGAAUGAGCAAAACAACAAAACAUGUGCAUCCAAAACUUAUUUAUUCCUACUUACUACUUACAUGAAUUAUAUUCUGAGUCUUCUGAGUGAGUUCCAGGUACCAAUGAGCCAAAUGGAAUCACGAUCAAAUUCGUUAGCAAGUGAUUGACGAACCGCCUAUGAUUUAUCGAAAUUAUGUCCAAUUAUGCUAUCUCAGAUAAGCAUCAACAUAAAAAUUUCCUACAACAACCUUCAUUUAUAUUAAAAGAUCAUGCAUUUUACUUGACGCUCUUUUACCAAAAUAUUGCAGUAAUCAAGUCAUGACCCAAAGAUUUCCGCACAUUUUACGGACUACAAAAUUAUAAAUCACCACAUGAAUUUAUUUUGUUUCAAAAUACCGCGCCAGAUUGCCAGAAGACCAUGAGUAAGAAAGAAGUGUCUACUCUUGGCAAAAGUCUAAACUACUCCUAAGUGCCCAUCGAUGGAAGGAAAUCUCAAUCAAUACAGGGGCACAUUGAGGAGUAAGACGGAGAGAGGUAUGGAUAGGGUUAGUUACCUUGAGGUGCUGGAUGCCGAACGAGUGGUCCAUGAGGGCCAGGGGAGAGUAUCCGGCGAUGGAGAUCGCCUGCGCAAGGGACGCCGAUGACUGUCAGCAGCAUGGUGCUGCCCCCGCCAAGCGCAGCCUCAACGGUGGCCAACAGGCGGCGGCGGCCAUCGUCUUCAUCAUCCGCCGCUGCUUCAUGUGUGAGGAAGAGGAACGGCGGAGGGCGCCUGCGCAAGGGACGCCGAUGACUGUCGGCAGCAUGGUGCCGCCCCCGCCAAGCGCGGCCUCAACGGUGGCCAACAGGCGGCGACGGCCGUCGUCUUCAUCGUCCGCAAUUGCUUCAUGUGUGAGGAAGAGGAAUGGCGGAGGGCGCCCACGCGGGAGACACUGAUGACGUCGAGCGCCCCGGUGCCGCCCCCGUCGAGCGCGGCCUCGGCGGGGGCCAACUGGCAGUGGAGGCCGCCAUCGUCAUCCGCCGUUGUGUCGUGCGAGAGGAGGGGCGCUGGUGACGAGACGUCUCUGGAGUAGGGGAUGGGAUGGGGACGAUGGCGGAUCUGGAGGGCUAGAAAGGAGGAGGUGGAUCGAGAGAACGGAAAGAACGGGUGCGUGGAGAACGGUGGAACGUGGUGCGGGAGAGAGGAGCUAAUUACGGCCGUGAUUGAUUGUUGGAUUGUUUUUUUUUUAGGGUUCAGAUAGGGAUGGUUUUCUUGGGGUGCGGGGAUCGGACGGGUGGGACGAGUGCGACGGAUGAACGUACGUACCAAACUCGAAAUUAAGUAGUAGUAAAGAUAGGGUGCUAAAUUAGGCAUUUGCAAUGACAGGUGACAGUUCACGUGGGUGCCAUGCUUUCCUUUUCCGUGACAAAUAGUACUCCCUCUGAUUCUAAAUUCUUGACUCAAAUUUGUCAAAAUAUGGAUGUAUCUAUUCUUAAAAAACGUCUACAUACACGUAAUAUUUUGACAAUAAUUUAGUAUUGGAGGGAGUAGUAUGUAUGUAAGGUUCGUGCUAACCUACAUGUUGACCCUACAAGCAAUUUUUUCUUUGAAAGCAUGCCAAAAUGCCAAAUUAGUCCUUAAAAAAAAGCUAGCCAAAUUAAAGCAUCCGGUUUUGUUCCUCAUCGUUCAUUUCCCUCCCUCCCUCCUUCCCUCCCACCCAUGUUGUCGUACAAUUGUUUUUUUUAACGGGUAAGGCUUCUCAUUUCUCAAAUAAUAGUACAAUUGGGUUUACCUGCCAUUUGCUGCCCAGCCACUAAUUGGUGCUUAUCUUCACGCCUUGUCGCCCCCUUGCAAUGGCAUUCAUCGGUUGGUUAAAAAGGGAAAAACAAGUUUGCAGCACCGGUACAUUUGUACAUCCUUUUCUAUCCACGCAACCACGCGAGGCCGGACGACACGUGCUGAUGCGACUGACGGGAAAGCUGGUUUGGACGGAUGAGCAGAGAGAGAGAACCCGCGCUCGAGCCGCACGUCGGUUUCUUCUUGCAGGAUAAACAUUGCACGUACCAAACGAGCAAAAAUAAGGAACCGGGUGCCAUAUAUAUCCACUCGAUCGGCUCGGACUUUGUCGCCGCCGCCGCGGCUGCUGCUCCUGGCGUCCCGCAGACAGAUUCCCACGAGCCUUGGGCUUCAUCACACGGAUGCCUGUUACCACUCGAUCGACCAGCCCAAAUAGUCUAGCCGUCCGGACUUCGCGUGCGUGCUGCUCAUAUAAUUGUUGGUUGCGUGGGGGCAAUUAUUGACGUACGUGUAGGCGCGCGUACUAGGAUUAAUCUAUCGACGACCACCGUCAUUCACGAGGUCCGGUCGCGUUUGCUAUCGAGCCCAGGCUCCUAGCUAGUUCGACCGGAUAAGGCCGUUCCCGAAUCUAGUCUCAGUGGCAGUAGAAGAACAGUAGCAGCAUUCUGGUGUGUUCUCUGCCAUUGCUCAUGGGGAAAUAGCGGUGUGGUUGAUCUGGUGGAUUUUUGUGCGGAACCCGACAAGCAUGCAUAUUAAAUGGCUUAAAUUUGUCAAAUAAAUAUAAAUGCAUCUGAAACCAAAACGGGACGGAGGAAGUACCAGUAGUAUAAAAGAACUGUGCACAUAAUGCAUGGACGAUGAAAUGGCCUCACAUGGCGAUCGACCGCGCGCGCUUAGGGCGCCGGCACACGUAGAAGAGAGCCUCGUGCUCGCGCGCGAGCUGAGCAUAUAGCACGUACGGUCCGAGCGGCGUCCCGGGCGGGGAUCUGCAGCCUAGGCCUGUCCGGGGCGCCGUCGCAUCGGUCGAUCCAUCGAUGGCGGGACACGGGACACACUGCACACAGCACGAACACGUGCGUGCAUGCGCUAGCUGCAUAUGCCAAAUCUGGUCUCGGUUCACGUUGGUACGUACGCGCUCGAUUGAUCGAUCGAUGGACAACUGACGUAUCGAUUCGAUACGUCAGGGAGGGCUACGUACGGAAAGCUAUAGCUAGCGGGGCCGCCAGAAUCGAGCAGGGGCUCGAUCGAUUCAGAUUCGAUUCGAUCUGGGGUCGAGAAAUAUGUGUGUGACUAGCUGCUGCUAUACGCACGUGCAUAAUACUACUGGUAUGCUACACUUCUCGUUAACUAAGAUGAUCUAUCAGCCGGAGGUGGCCCGUUAAAUUGAAGAGAGGGAGAGAGAAACGUUCAAACUGAAAGGAAAAAAUGGUGUAACUAUUUUCAAACAAAGGUAUUAAAUGUCGAUGGACAUGUCAGAGACAUCGGAUCAAGAUCCGAGGGUCAUCCACACUUUCCCCUCCGUAACGUGUUAUCGCUGGAUUAAAAUCUGACGACCAACAGGGGCGGAGUUACAGCGUAGACAUUGGGUUCAGAUGAGGAAUUGGAUCCGAGCCUACACAUAUGAACCCCAUGAUUAUAGUGUAAUGAACCCAGUGGUUUCCUUUUCUGGCUCCACCCGUGACGACCAAUCACGUCGACUUGUCUCUAACUAAAAAAAUACAGACGACUUCUUAAUAGCAAAACAUGAAAAAGGAAUAUAAUGUCUCUGUAAAAUAUAGAAAGACGUGGUUCUCCGUUAAGAUGUUGUGGUUAUUUCUCUUCUGUCAGUUGACCAUUUUUGUCCCCGUCUGAUCCAGCGCCGCUCCGUUACCGUACCAUGUUUUUUCACGUCAUUAUCCGUCCGUAUUCCUUAUUUGUUUUUGCAUUCAUAUCAUGUCCGUGCCGCUUCCAAACCAAUGGAAAUUGUGAAAUAAAAUAUGGUACUAUAUAAAAUCAUUAUCCGGUCCCGUUUUACAUAUAUGCUAUAUUCCUCAAGUAUGUACAUCGAUCGCGGUCUUGUAUGAUUCAAAAACAAAAACGAAAUAUCAGUAGAGAGCAAGCGUACAUGCACACGCAGGAUAUGCUUUCGUUGGUUAAUUCGGUGUACGUACGGACCACCGCGAUGUCUCUGCGCCCGUCGACGUCACACACGCUUACGUGAGUGCGUGCGUACAGUCGGUGAUUAAUCGAUCCGGAAACGUGCCAAUAUAGUCUGCAGCCGCGCCGGCUUUUUAUACUCCCUGCAAUCAAUGCACCCGGCCCUCUCGUUUCGGCCGAAAACUGCAUACCACGCUCGAUCGAAUCAUCCAAGUAUACAGAUACACACAUGCUUCUCGAUGACUCGAUCGAUGGACUUACGGUAUAAUCGUACAGUAGUUGCUUUCGCUUCCAGACGUAGGUACACGGAACGACGAACCGGGAAAAACGGCCCUCCUGCUCCUGGCUUGGAAUCAUUCCACCUCUGGUGGAAAUCCUGGACCACCCGUACGUCCAUAUGCUCCCUUGCGAGUUGCAGACACGUUAUACGUACUCAUGUAAUCGCUCCGUUUCAUAAAAAUUGACACGAUUUUAAAUCAGAACUAAGUUAAAAUCAUGUCAAUCUUCGUGAAACGGAGGAAGUACCUGACAGGAAUGCAUGCAGGGAUCAGGCACUCCAGUUUGGAGUUGGAACGGGGCACACAUGUGGAAAAAGUUUCGAACUAACAAGGUGGCGACUGCGACCAAAGCCAGAACCAUUUUUUGUCGAGCACGAUCGAUCGACCUGCAGCGCCAGAGCCACUAGAGGGCCCAGAUCAGCUUGCCCCGCCCCAAUUCCAUGCGUUCCGGUUGUUUCCUUUCGAGCCCCCUGCCCCAGUUGCCUGCCCUUUUAUCUCUCAGCGAUCAGUUACGUUCAUGCAUUCUUGGCCACACGUACCUACACUACAAUCGGUACUACUACGUACAUGCGAGAUAGCUAUGUCCCGAUCGAGCCUGCAAUUAACGGCAACUCGACCGAUCAAUCUGCAAGUAGAGACAGUAAUCUCGAAUUUGGUUCAAAAGCAGGCAGCGAAUCCUGGAACGACCAAGUUACACGGUACUCCUAUGUAAGCUAGUACUAGUACAACUAGUAGCAUGCCACCGGUGGAUCACUCACCUGGGGAUACAAAACCGUUCUCCUUCGAUUAGAGUCGUCUGCAUUAUUGACAGUUUCGAUGGACCAGGCAGACAGAAGCAAAGCCUGGAUGCGCGCGGGAUCCACUUGUCCAGCAAAAGGGCACGAAUCGGGGAGGUCACAGGACUUAAACAUACGAUAGGCCACGCGAGCCAAAGGCGUGCCGUACUGUGCUGCCCCUGCCUGGCCUGUCGUGUGAUGUGACAGAAAAAAAUUAAAGGGAGCGGCGAACCUGCGUUUCAUGAUCAUUGAUAGAUGGAUGGGUGGAUCGAGCUAGUAUUAAGCUGGUUGUGGUGUGUGUGUGUGGAGGGGGGUCUGUCUUUGAAAAGUCGACGCUGCAUGCGGACGUUCAGUUUCAAGUGGCGUGCAAGAUGUUCCUAGUGAAAAUGUGAAAUCAUGGGGGAAAUAGGCGAAGUUUGCAGGGUUGAACGGCACACCGCGUUUGGCUGACGGCUCUAUGCGCGGAUAUGAUGUUUUCUUUUUAACGAAUAUUCUGAUAUUUUUCAAUACCAAAACCGUAUUCGGAGUUAGCUGGCGUCUGAAUUUUAAACAGAAGACUUAAAUCUCCGGACUCUUGAAUUAAGAUCUAAGUGUCAUCCCCACUCUCUCUUCUCCCGCAUGCUGUUGUUGGAUUAAGAUCCAAUGUUCAAACACGUCAGCUGAUCGCUAACUAAGAAACAAGCGACUUCUUAAUAGCAAACCGUUUUCUGAAUCCCCACAUUCGAUAAUAAAAUUCCACCGGGAACCUACCAUGCUGUAUGCAGAUAUCGACCUUCUUUUUUUGGAUUGUGAUAAGUGUAUUUUCAUAGUUUAAAUAUUGUUCACGGUGCAAAUUCCGCCCUUGCGUGGCGGGUUAUUGGACAUUCAACUGUGGAUACCGAGCUUAGCAAAUUUUUGUCGAACUCUUUUUGGAAUGGAAUGGAUUAAUACAAUUUGACUAAGAGUCAUCAUUUUUAUGGUUUAGGGUGGUGGCUGCACCCCAAAACCUACCAAGGAUCGAACCCCAGGUUUGACCCUCGGCGUGUCUCAUUUGAGCCGAAUUUCUUUUGGCAGUAGGAGAUGCAAUCCGUUCACGCUUCACACUGAAGCGUCAGUGACUUCGUCGAUCUCAAAACGUUUUCACGAUUCUGGUCAUCCGUGUGAGUGUGUGCGCACGGCGGUGUACGUCGUGUGUGAUCAUUGUUCCUAAAAUAAAGUACUUCCUUCGUCUAACAAAGGAUGUCUGAAUUUUGAUUAAAUUUGAAUGCAUCUAUACAUCAAGUCAUGUCUACAUACAUCAACAUUUUGACAAACUUGAGACAUCUUUUGCUGGACGGUGAAAGUAUAGGAGCCCGGGAAUAGCCGCAUCUUAUUACAAGCAAUUAAUAUUUCGACCCUGAACCAGUUUGAGCUUAACCCCAGUGGAUCGGAAUCGGGUUCACUGAGCGAGCGAGCGCUCCAUUACAGAUUUUUACAGGCACUGAGGCACCGUCUCUUCCUGCUGCCCCCCUCCGGGGAGCUAGCUGCGUGCUAUGGACCGCCCAUUCGUGGAACGGGCUGUACCCACCAAUACCUACGUACCUGCGCGCCUGCCAUGCCACCCCUCUGCCACGGGGGGCUGUCGGCUCCAAAGAAUCAUGCAAUAAUUACCAGCUUCUUCUAUCGGCGGCAUACAGAGGAGAGGAUUGAGCUUUUGAGCAUCUCGUGUGCAGAGAGAAUCUCUCUGCCCGUUCGCGCCAGGUGGAUGUAUUUACUUGCGCCAGGAGCAAACGAGCAACUCGUGACCGCCUACGCACGUUUCCCCGACUAGACAAGUCAAUUGGUGAAAAUUGGUGAAAUUGGCAGCUAGCUUAUUUAUCCCUUUAUCCAUUCGCACCCACCCCACCCCGGCCACCCUCCGCGCUGCGCAUGCAUGCAUGUCCUCGUGGGCUCUCGAGGACUUGAAGUACGUACGUCGCAUGCAUGCAGAUAAGACGGAGCUAGAGAGAAAGCCUCUUCUUUUCGCUCGUGGCCCGGCAUGUGCAUGCCAAUGGCAAUGCCAGCGUCCCAGUCAGCUACUCUCUCCGUUCCAAAUUCUUGCCUCAAAUUUAUCCAAAAAUAAAUAUAUUUAUUUUUUAAAAACGUUUAUAUACAUGUAAUAGUCCGACAAAAAUUAUGAAACGGAAGGAAUACUGACCAUAGCUAUGGUCAGUACAACUCCUAGUGACAAGUGCAAGCAGGGGAAGUUCAUACUCUAUGUGGGAGGUGCAAUGCAUCUCUCGCUCUAAAGACGUGGUACUCCUAGACUACAGGACUACCACGUACUGGAUUCAUCGAGAUGUGAUGGAACGGUGUACCAGGGUGCGUGGCAUGCAUGUAGACGCCGGGCCGAUCGAUGUAUGUCGAGAGCGGGAUAUGGACAACGAAAAAGGGUGUGGGCAGGGUAGGUGUUCGAUCAAAAUCCACGGACAGUUCCAAACUGAGGAGACCAUGGGGAAACUACUGGACAUCGGGGGUAUAGUGUUCACGUGACGUCAGAACUGGGGAGAGCUACACAACCUCAAGUCGUCGUCUUCUGGUAAGCAAGAGGACCCUUGUUUGGGAGCGCAAUGCAAGUGCAGAUGUUGUGCAGGCGCAGCAGAGACGUGACCCUUGCAGAAGAAAACGCGAAGAGCCGGGUAUAGUGGAUAUGUGGAUGCGUGAAUUAUCGUGGGCCGGGCCGCUUCAAAGCCUGGUAACGCGUGUCGUCGUGGCCUGGCCCAGAUUAUGCUGCUCAUCCGUCCAGCUCGCAAUACAUGAAGAGAAGUUCAAAAACCCGCUGUCCACUUUUGCAUUUAUCCAACGUUUCCUUGAUGAUUUGUCUCUCAUUCGUGAUGUUGUCCAUGCUGUGACACCGGAGCCUCCUCCUGGUGGUGGUCGCCUUGUCCCGCCCACCAACCGCUGGUCUCCUCCGUCGGCUGGUAUGUGUAAAAUUAAUGCGGAUGCUGGAGUUGCAAGGUCAGGUGCAGGUGGUUCUUGUGCUGCGGUCUGUCGCGAUGAAUGUGGAAGAUUCAUGAGAGCCUCUUCGAUUACAAUCGAGGGCAUGACCGACCCUACAAUACUUGAAGCAUUGGCAUGUAAUGAAGGCUUGUCUCUGGCCUUGGACCUUAACAUCUCAAAAGUUUGUGUUGUUUCGUACUGCUUAACGGUUAUCAAGAGUCUACAACAAGAUGAUCUUUGCUAUUAUAGUGCGAUCAUUAAGGAUAUUGUGGCAAGGAAGGAUCAGUUCCGUGAUGCUGUUUUCAGACGUGAGAAGAGAACUCUUUAUAGAGAUGCUCAUAAUCUAGUUAGAGCGGAGUUACCGCUUUCUGUUGGCCAUCAUAUUUGGCUUUUAAGUACCCCAUGCAUUACUUGUAUUCCUGUUCAAGUUGGUGUUGAAUAAAGCUGGCCUUUCCCCUAAAAAUAAAAUAUCCGUCCAGCAGAACUGAAUCCCCAAUAGCGCGGUUACAAGACAAGAAUGAUUAUGUAAUUAUGUUCCUUGUUAUCGUUUCACUUUGCACCACAGAAAGAGUGCUCUGUUUGGCUCCACCAAGGCAAAAGGAAAGAGAAACAGGAACCGAGGAGUGUCUCAUUGUCAAUUACUAAUUCAGCCAACGAACCCAUAAAACAUGUACCGACGCAAAUGCAAUUCAUCAGAAGUGUUCUUCAAGGAAGAACACAGACAGGGUAUCGGACUACCGGUGACUAUGUUUGGAUAUCUUACAUGCUCAGAAUGCUGCGGGCGAGUUAACUGGGAAAUAAUUGAAGAUGAAGAAAGGACACAGCAAGUUACAUAAGCGGCAACAGAUUUUGCUAGAGUGGCACAGCAGUGGCAGGUGCUGGAACAUGCACCUCAAAUACAAUCAGGAACUCGAACUGUUUAUAGCUUUGGACACUUUCUUCCAUCGCAAAACACUUCGAGUUUGUUCUUAUCAAGCAAAUGGUUUUCGAUUAGGCCCAGAUAUGACAUGGUGUUAUUACAUGCAUAACAGCGCUGGCUUGUCAAGCACCACUGGCAUACAGGCGAGUCCACUCCUUCGCUGCAAAGCAAAAAAAAAAUUGACAUGUUAGGUACAAAAAGCAAUGAAAAGUGGAGCAAAAUGACAUGCUAGUGUAUCAAAGUGCAGUGUUAGCGUGCGGCUUUGUUGGCUGAAUUUUCAGUUACCUGUCUCGACAGCUUCAGCUUCAUUGGAUUUCCAGUGUUUUGCCACGUUUUCUGAGAGCGGAUCAUCUGGAUUCGGAGCGCUCAGCAGUGCCUGAAUGCUGCAGACCAAACAUUGUAAAGAGGCAAAAAAAAAAGAGUAUACAAUAGUGGAUACAAGAAGCAACCCUCUGGAAAUACGAUAAUAUGAUACGAUCAUGAACUAUAAUGAAACUAUUUGGCCAAACAUGCCACGGAAGACAGAAGAGGUUGCUACCUCAAAAGAACAGUACGUAUCUGAAGAGCUGGGCUCCAUUUGUCCUUCAGGAUAUCGAGGCAUAUCCUACCAAGCUGCAGUGCAAGUCAAUCCGAAAUGAGAAACUGUUAUCGAAUGAAGUUCCAUUGAGAAUAUCAGUUCCCUACCUUGUCAAUGUUGGGAUGGUAUAUUUUUGUGAGAAACCUAACCUGCGUCAGGAAUAACCAAAGAGUGAUGUCCAUCAGAAAGAAUCACAACAGAGACAACAUACAGAAAAGUCAAAUAGAAUUGUGUAACUACUUUGGUUAGACGACAGUGUCACACUAAAACUAAAACAACCAUGUUGAUAUCCGUAAGAGUAAAACAGUCCAAGGACAGGAGUUGAGAACAAAAUAUUCAGCUACCUCUUAUUUAACAUGAUGGAAAUUACUACUCCCUCCGAUCCAUAUUAAUUGUCGAAAUAUUACAUGUAUCUAGACAAUUUUUUAGCCAUAGAUACAUCCAUAUUUGGGCAAAUUUGAGACAAUUAAUAUGGAUCGGAGGGAGUAUUAGUCUGAGUCUCAGAUGAUAUAUCACAAUGUCAGUACACUCCAAAUAUAGCAUUGCCAAUUAAGUAAAGUAAAGUACGGAACUGUGCAAAGGAGAUUAGUUAAGUGAACGGAGAGAGAAAUCUAGUAUGGAUACGAAAAGUAUUAACACAAUACUAAACAUGGGCAUUCAGUAUUCCUGAUCACAAAGAUGGUAUGCAAAUCUAUUAAUGGUACAUAUCAACAACAAACAUGGGCGCUGCCCAAAAUAAGAUGUCACAAUAAAUUGCUGGUUUCGGUUAACCACAGGCAUAAUUAAACGUCCAUCCCACUGUCGCACCAUAGCAUGAUAAAAUCAUUGCGAAGAUCGCUCUGCCAGAUUUUGAACUCAAAUUUCAGUUACAACUUACAACUAGGAAAUGAACCAAAUUCCACAUCAAGGAGCCUACCGGGACAAGAAAAUCCAUCACAAUAUGUGUCAAACUAAUAACUUCUUAAACAACCAUCCACUAAUACUUGAUCAAAAAAUUACUUUUGGAGCAGCCAUCGGAUAUUCCUCAGGUAAGAAAAGUUCAAGCUUGAAAACUCCACCUGUCCAACACAUAUUAGAAGAAAUAUCAGGAGGACCAGACACAGACAACUAAACAAAAUAAUGUUUCACCCAAUUAAAAAUGUCAUAAGCAAAUACAGUAUACAAAGAUAAGUAAACCAAGCUUAAAUAAAUAAGAUAACAUAGUGACAAAUGUACUGUCUAACAAUAGGAAAACAGGUCGUUCUGUGUACCAUUUAUCAUAUACAUGCACCGCAUUUCAUUACUCCAUGUUGCAUGGAAACAUGGUAGAUAGUUCCUUGUGCCGUAUAUCAGUAAACUUCAGUAAUCGCAAAGGUUAAGGAAACCCAAGACAUUCAAUUCCCAUAGGUUACUGAUAUAUGGUACAGUUGUAGAUCUAGCAUGUUAAGGAAACUACAAACUUGUGCCCCAUAUCAUAUCUAAACUAAUAGCAGGUAUAACUGUUGAAGUAUAAGGUGAAUUGCCCUCAUUUCUCCAUCAGCUUAGGCUUUUAGGGGCACUGGUUCGGCCCAUAUGCAACUCUCCAUGGUAUCCGAGCCAAGAGGUCCCGAGUUCAAGCUCAAUAUAAUAAAAAGGCACUUUUGAUCCAUGAGGGGGAGUGUUGAAGUACGAAAUGAAUUGCACUCGUUUCCCCAUCAGCUUAGACUUUUGGGUGAACUGGUUCGGCACAAGCAACUCUACAAAAGGCAGUCUUCCUAUGUGGAAUAACUUCUACAAAUAAAAAACCAGGUUCACUAGAGCUUAAGAUAACCGAUGAAAUGGACUUGUCAAGCUAUAUUUUGUGAUGGAUUCAACAAAGCAGAAUCUCAAAGUAUAGAAUCCAAAAGGCACAGAAGAGUACAAUUACCACUGGAACAGCUGGGUACAAGAUGGUCGGAUUGCUGGUCUAGCAAACAUAAGUUUAGAAGUGUAUAGUUCCGGCAGCACUAGAACAACACCUUUAUGUGACCAUCCUGAUAUGAUCAUCCAUCUGUGAUGUUUUACUACAUAUUUGCAGCAUUUUACAAACAAAAAGAGCCAUAGAUACGAAAAUGGGGACGCGGUGACCACAGUUACAGUCCUAAAUUGCCACAGAACUACGCAUUCGUGCUCCAAAGUAUUACAGGGUUAUCGGCAUACGAAACAUUCCAACAGAAAUAAAAUGAAAAGGAGGUUUUACCUUCAUAAGGAGACUGCGCCGGACCAAGGACCAUGACAUUGAAGUAGCGCAUGUUCUCCUCCGACGGCGACGCGCUAAUCCCCGGCGCUGCACGCACCCCCCCAACACACGAAUCAGCACAAACAUCCGAGGCUCGAACGCGGACAACACAACAGGAGCAUCGAAUUCUAGGAAAACGAACCUGGUUCGCUGAGCAGCCGCUGCGUCUCCUGCAGCAGAUCCAAAUUCCGAACAGAUUAGGCACCACGCACAAGGAAUAACCAGACGAUAAGGUUAUCAUAUCGCGUUAGAGUCUCAGAAACGGCUGUAGAUCUGGGGGGGUGAGGGGCGAUCGGAUCGCGGGGUAGGGCGCGCGCACCUUGAUGAUCCGGCGCGGGAGGUUGCUGUUGGCCAUGGAGUCCGGCCGGGGCUGGAGCGAGAGCCUAGAGGGGAGGGGGGGAGGGACCGCCUCGAGCUUCGCGCGGCGACGGAGGAGAAGACAGCGCGAGAGAGGUCAAAGGAGUCGUCGAUCUGUCGGGGAGGGCGAGCCGGGGGAGGAGGCGACGAACGAACAGAAAUGGGUCAGGGUCCGAUACUGUGUACCACGUAUUUAUAAACUCCACGCUACAGCCGCUGCUGCUGAUAUUUUCCUUUUCCUCUUGAGCUGGUGUUUUCGUUUUAUACUCUACCGACCUGUUUGUUUGUCCUUCUAUUUCAGUUUUUUUGCAUCUGGCAAUCUUAAAAGCAUCUUUUCUGUUUACACGUGAAGCUGAGAGGCACCUCCGAACAUGCUAAACACUGUUUACACAUGAAGCUGAGAAGCACCUUCGGACGUGCUAAACAGAAAAAGUGCUUUUGAGAUUGCUAAAAGUACCAAAAACUGAAACAGAAGUCCAAACAAAUAGGCCCAGAGUCUGCUGGAUUGUGAAUUUGAAUACGCACACGGCGAAAUCAAAAUACGAAGUCAUGGCCACUAUGUUUAAAAUAAAAUUCGUGUACUUGGACAAAACAGAAGUUGUUCGGUGAAUAAAAAAACCCUAGAAAUGAUUUUCCGACGUAAUAAACGGUAUAAUAGUACUACUAGUAGUACGAGGGCUGCUGCAGCGGAGAUUAAAAAAAAACGGUGUUCGUUUUAGGUGAGCCAGGGAGAGCAUCUCUCCACGCGAAGGGAGCACACAAUUUAUGCAUGUGCAGAGAGAGAGAGCACGGAGAAGAACAACCUUUGGGUUUGCCUAAUUGCAACGGCCAACUUGUGACUUUGUGUUGUGCGCGCUCGUCGUGGAAGGAUCUCAGGCGAAAAGGAAGGUGGGGGAAAGCUCGAUUAUUCUCCGCAGCUUCAAUCCCACGCUAAGCCGCCUGGUCGAAAAGGUUUGGCUGGCCAAACCGGUUUUGCAUGGUACUCCGUAACAUGUUUUUCAAGUUUUUUAGAACUUUGGAGGAACUCGAAACAAAUUGAGAGCAUACGCUUUCUAAGAGUUGAAAAGUAUUAUUUUCGAAGCACGGGCAGUCGGGCACGGGCAUCAGAGCAUCUCCGUUGCCAGUCGCUCGAAGCGAAGAGAAAUCACGCACUUCCUCUGCUACCGAAGCGAAGGCAGGAACAAGAACAACAGCGACGAGACACAGCCAGAAAUUCGGCAUAGUAUUUGCUCAGGGCUAGAUUCCACUGUAUUCGCUGUAAUCUGGUAAAGCAUGUCGCAUGUGCCCAGACUACAGGAGGAUUUCAAGACAAGUAUCCAGUCCUGUCUUAUUUACAACAGAUAGCGUGCAAAACUAUGCUCAAGAAUCAAGAUAGAUAAAUAACACUGGAUUUCCCCAGUACUUGCUACUUCACCGAACUACGGAGUACAACUGGUAAAGAAUAGUUUCACAAGUCGGAUCCUGAGAUCACAAUGAAAGAGAAGAUACAACAGGGAGUAUUAAAUCUGCACAUGAUCACAAGGAAAUCCAGAUGCACAUGAAUCCAGACAAUAGGAAGAACAGGGAACAGUUUGACAUAUUUUUUCUAAUAAAACAGAAGGUCAGAGUUGCAUGCCUACAUUGUCAACAAAAUAAUAGAUGAAUUGCACGAACAUACCUCAACGACUCAAUGUCAACAUGGAUUUACACUAACAAUUUUUAGUCUUUGACCUUUCAUACUCUUCAGAAUUAAUUAUUACCAGACUAAAAACUACAAUGCACCUAAGAACACGAGCUUUCGCUUCAGAAUAUCCCAAGGAUGGUGGGGGCAGGUGGAGCACGCCAUCAUUGGAGAGCAAGAGCAACGCCAUGUCAUUAACUGAUCAUCUUCAAAUGAUAAUCUGUAGAAGAGACAAUGGACAAGAGUCAAUUGAUCGCUUCACCAAACAGUAACAUUACAAAUUUGCUAUACAGGCUCCAAACAAACUGAUUUUCUAUCAGUCUACGCUUAAACAUAGCAGUUAACAGGGGCAAAGCUUAACACAGGCCCAUCAGCAAUCAUGCAGAGAACAAGGCAAGGCAGAUCAUCCAUGGGAAUCACACAACAAUCCACAAGGAAGCAUGCAUUACAUUCUUUGGAAAGCCAAUCAAGAGAAAUCUGGGUUCAGCGAUCGGAAAGAUUUACAAUGGAUAAGAUAUGUCAAAAUUUCAGUACUGGAAACUUCAGUUACAAAGCAAUUUGAUAAAUCUUACAUGCCAAGACAAGUAUAGAAGAUAUAUCUUUAUAUAAUAAUACUGACUCGUAAUUGUUAGGCUUACAGCAAAAAAAAGGUUAAGUUUCAUUAAACAAGCUUAUUUAUCGGUCUCUGAGGAGCUGGGUUACCUGUAGAUAAAUGGGACCAGAAACUAAGAGGUUACCUGUUGACUCAAGCUUAUGCUUAUUUUGGCGAUACACGUACUCUUAGGCUGGACAUAAUUCACCCUAACGAUUCUCACUAAGACAUGAGAAAGGAAUUCUAGUACGGAAAGGAAGUGAAAACCAGCGCAUGUGCAUCCAAGUGACUCCUAGUGAAACAGCACAGAGAGUGUCCCAGAUCGAUUUUAACUCUGAGUCACCAAGUGGUUCGUCGGUAUCAAUUUGAUCCUAACAGAUUCCAGGCAAUACCAUCAUAUGUCACCCAGUCAUGAUUUCCAGGAAAAGAAUAUAAGUAUUUUCAUCAUACAGACAGAAUUGAAGAAAAACUAUUAUUAGACCAUACAUUAUGGUCUUUCAUUUGUCAUGACAAAAAUGUACUCCCUCCGAUCCAUAAAAGGUGACGCCCAUUUUGUACUAAGUUAGCACAAAUUUUGUACUAGGUGGGCGACACAUUUUAUGGAUCGGAGGGAGUAAUAAGAAACACUAAAAGCUCAAGAUAGAAACUAUGAUUAGUUAGUUCAAUCUUUUAAUAACACCUAUGACAUAACAGAGCUGCACAAUUAUAAUUCUGUAAAUUUUAUCACACCCAAAAACCCAGAGAACCAAACGAUAAGAUACAUAAGUACUUAAAUCUACAAUCAUAACGAGAUGGUCAACAUAUCUCAUCAAUGCACAAAAUUAAAUAGAAAAACACACGACGAAAACAUCCACCAAACAUUAUCUACUGAAGACACAAAAUAUAAAUAGAAUCUCACAAAGCCUACACCAGGAUAGAUCUUAUAUGUGAAUAUCAAUGCUCAACAGGACCGAAAGCCUUAUUUAUGAAGGUUAUCGCACAUUUGGGCUAAGGCCAUUGUAACAUAAAAUAGUCCAAAAUGCACAACAUAUGGGGUGGUCGGACUUCGGCAACGAAACUUCAGACAUACUCGCUAGAUUUUCCGAAGCAACAGUAUCUAAACUUUUUUGUUGCUAAUCCUCCGCAGCAACUCGAGCCAAUUGUUUACCAAGAUCCUUAUCGAGAUUAGCUAGAUUAUUAAACCUUGACUGUAGAUAAACGGACAUGUAUGUAACAUAUUGCUCAGAACAAUCAAGUCGGGCUCACCCAAGCUUGUUUACACCCAUAUGAAGGAAAGGCUUAUUGAAUUGCAUUGUCAGGAAAUCAGCACUUCCCCAAACAAACUGAAAGUACCUUUAUUCCACAACCUAUAAACAUCAAUGGAUAUACUCAGAACACAACAGCUUACAUGUGUGGACCUUCCCACCAUUAAGGCCAAACAUAGUAACAAUAAGUUCCACUUAUUAAAAUGUCAUUGUAUACAAGAAUGUCAGAUUAAAUUAUGCCUCUACACAAGCAUACCAAUCCUGUCACUAUCACUGAAAGUCUGAAACAUUAACUAACAGCCAACAUCAUGCCACAUAACUUGUAAUUUUAGCACAUCAACAUUAGCAUUACAGAAACAAUAGUAGCCACAGAUCACAUAAACGAACAAAAACAAUCUACAGCAAUGUUCUAAACUGAAAUGCUAAAACAUACUUUACCUAAAACCCUCGUCCGCAUCAGAGGUAAUUGGAGUUGGAAAGGAAAGGCAGCGCAGCAACGGAUGAAAUCAGCUCCACUCCACCAGCACCAUUGGAUGCAGCCCCUCCGCUCUUCUUCGUGCGCUUCACCCUUGCGAGCUUCACGUGCGCAUCGACGAAGUUCUCCAUGCGCUUCACCUCCAGCUGCUUCAGGAAGUCAAUUCGCUCGCGUUCCAUCUCUAGCGAAUGCUUUUGUUUCGCACUCUCCACGCGCUCAUACAUCUCUGCAAAAGCCUCAAUUGCCCUCGCCAGCUCGCUGACACCACUAUCCCCAUCACCGCCAGCCUCGCGACGAAAGGGACGCUUGUUGCUACCGCCGGAGCGCGCCGACGAGACAGAACGCGACGGUGACCUCCGCAAGUUGUCAUGGUGGUUGUUGUUGUUGUUACCACCAGGAUGAUCACCAGAGUCCUCCGAAUCAGACACCGCUGCAGCGGCGGCAGCGGCUUCCUGCUGGAUGAACGCAGCGGCAGGGAGCAGCGCCCCGCGGCGGUAGCUGGGGAGGGGCAGAGCCAUGGGCGGGGGCGGGGACGGCGAGGAAGAAGGCGACGGGUACUUCCUCGCGGCGGUAGAAGAAGGAUGGACGGGCAGGGCGAGGUGCGGGGCCAUCGCCGGCGAGGGCCGCUUGUUGGCGGCGGAGUUGAGGGUGGGGCCGACGAGUCGGUCGAGCUCGUCGAAGAAGCUCCAGCCCGACGGCGCGCCGCGGACGCGCUCGGCCUUGUACUUCUUCUUGAGGGUGUCGACGCGGUUCUUGCACUGCACGUCGGUGCGCGGCGGGCGGCGGCGCGCGGCGGCCCCGCGGCGCGAGUUGACGGCGUUGGCCACCUCCUGCCACUGCUUCUGGCGCAGGUUGCCGCGGUUGAGCUCCACGUAGCGGCUGCCCCACGCGUCCACCAGCGCCGCCGUCUCGCCCUCGCUCCAGCAGUCCUCCCGGUAGGGCAGGUUAGGGUUGGGCGGCGGCAGCCUCCCAAACCCUCCCCCUCCUCCUCCUCCCCCUCCUCCCGCCGCCGCCGCAGCAGCAGCCGCAGCCAUCUCCCUCACCUCCAUCGGAACCAGAUCUCGCAGGAGCAAACCCUAACCCUAGCUAGCCCGCCCGCCGAGAGAAGAGGACCGAGCGAGCCUCGGGGAAGUCGCGCGUGACGGUGGGCUAUGUGAGCGGUGGGGGGUUCGGGGUUGGAAUAAAAGGACACGGCGAGGGAAGGGGGGAGGUGGGGUCGCCGGCCGCGAGGGGUCCGGGUUCCGUCCGUCACGCACGCGGCACGUGACGCGUGACCGGCGAGGGGGGGGCGGCAUCGGCAUGGCAUAUCUCGCUCGCUCUCGUGUGUCGUGGGUGACCGGAUUCGGAUCGGAGACGUGCCGCCGUUGGAUUGCGUUUGACCGGGUAACCGGCGAUUACUUUCGGGUUUCGGAGGGCGGGUGGGAUAAUGACAGCCAGCCAGGCACAGGCAAAGCAGAGCGCGGCGACAGGCGACAGCCGGAGACCGGACGGAAUACGGUGGCUGGCGCGGGGGUGGGAAAUUACCGCGUUGCCCCUACCCCGGGGAGCAGGCCGGGGCGGCACGCGGCAGGGGCAAGGCGGGGAUUUCGCGUGGGGCGGCGCGGUGUCAGGGGGUGAGCUGGUCGCCGUUGGUCGGUUUGCGUUUCGGGGCCGCCGAAAGAGGGGAGAGGAGAGAGAGAGAAACGCGCCGAGGAUGAUGGGGAAGGGAGAGGAGACUCGCGAACCGAAGACACCGCUGCUCCUCGCUCUGUACUCCAGUCUAGGCUUCUAGCUAGACUCGGCGCGGUGGAGUGGGUGGGUGAAGAGACUGAGGCGCGGGGCCCGCGUGCAAGCAGGCAGGGCGGGCAAUUAUUGUCGCCUCUGGUGCCGUCGCUCGGUACAGAGGACGGACGGACGGACGGCGUGGGCAAAAUUUAAUCGGCGUGCAGCAGGUGCCGGCUGCCGCCUGCAGGCGCCGGUCCUUCGGAUUGAUCGGUGGAUGGAUGCACUCGCCAAUGGCAAUUCAUCCAUCAAACAUCAUUCGUUACUGUAUAUUUUGUGGCAAAUCAAGAUUAGAGGUUCAUCAUCCGUUUACCGUUUUGGUUUGUCCCCUGGCGUCAUCAUCACCGUCUGGGCUUUGGAACUGACAAUAUGGUUCUUUCGGUGAAAUUCAGGUGAAAGUAAAACUCCACCGGUAGAUAGCAGCGGCCAUGGUGCCGUCGUGGGAACAGAGCAGUACGUACGUUACGGGCUCGCGUCAAAUCCUCGACGGAACCGUGCCCGCUGCACCGGUGGGUGAACAGAACACCAUAAAUCCCUCGCGGCCGUGGAGAGAAGUCAGGGGAACCGCGUGUACGUACGUGGUCCUCUCCUGCUAGCUAUAGCUAGGCUGCCCCGUGCGACCGGCGGCGAGGAAACGGCACGCUCGGGAGCCGUCAACAUUGAAUCGGAGGGCCGGGCGGCCGCGAUAGCGUAGCGACCAGCGAGAUACUCAGUCAGUACGGGCUACUUCGGGCUGUCACGCACGCACCGAGCCGGACGGCCGGGCCGACGCGUCGGGCUUGGGAACCACCGGCGCCGCAGGGGCGGGCUCGGACCGCGUCCAACGCCGCAGGCUUUGCAAAGCUUGCGUUGCGUGUACCCCACGCUACCACGCGGGUCCCCUCCACCAAUCAAUUCCAGGCCGGACGGACGGCCGGUACCGUGUACCGACGCGUCGCCCGCCGGAUCUCCGUGGCGUUUUCCUUUGCCUUUAGUUGUGUACCCGCCCCGCUUCACGCCGGCCUUGUGCGGCAGUUGUGUACACACACGCACGCACUUGUACUACUACUGGUGGCCUUGGACUUUGCUGGUUGCUGGUGCGCACCCAGCUUUUUGCGAACGGUUCCGGGAAACGCCGGCGGAAACUUGUGCGGCGGGUCGGUCGGUUGCCGGGGAAGGAAGGAUUCUUCACACAAGCAACGUGAGAUCUGACCAAGGGGAGCAGCAGCCAGCCAGCACGAGCAGCAGUUCGGCGCUGGAGCUACGCGCGAGCUGGGGCAGGAGCUACACGCCAUGUACGUUGCGUCCCCGGGCCGGUUUGAUUUACGACCGGAAGAGCCGCAGCGUUUCCGGCGCGAUGACCGGACAAAUUAGCCGGCUUGGCCGAUGGCUAUACUAUAUCGGAUUGGACAUAUGGAGUGAUAGUGCUCCCGACAGGUAGGAGACGGACGGACGAGAGCGAGUAAACUGCUGCCUGCGACUCUGCGAGUCCUGCCGUGCACGGCUCCAUGGACGGACCGCACGUCCAUGGCCUGUGUAGCUCCGACCGCACCGGACGCAGGCAAGCGGGACGUGCUGUUCAUCCUGCAGACGGGACUGACCCAAGUUAUUGGAGACGCGUCGGCAUUGAAGCCUUUUCCAUUCUCAGGAGCAUGACGUAAUCACGGGAUCACGCACGGCGUGGGCAAAAGAUUACCAGCCGCGCCGCGCGUGCCUGACUGCCUGUGCAGCUGUGCUAUUUUGAGUGCAGAAUACAGUUCUUCAGAACCGCGCCUGUUUUUUGAGGCUAACUGAACAUGCAGUUCCAUACAAUUUCAAAACUCUACGUAUAAUACGGAAGGGUAAAAGAUACUGAGGCGGUCGAGACCACUGUCGCGACACGCGAAGCCUGAAAUCGUAGCGGAUUUACUUUUUCUUUCUCUCGGGGCAACGUCCAGCAACAGCAAGUGACUGCUUGCCGGUUCAUCUGGCCGGACUGAAGGUGCAGAACUAUCUGCUUCCAUGACCAUGUCAUCUUACUGAACUGAUGUUGAUGUUGAUCGAACGGAAACUUGGUAUUAGUGCAAUUUGCAUUUGGUAGACGGGGGGUGGGAUGAAGAAGCUGCAGCGCAUUGGUCAGGGCAGCAGAUGGAAAACGCUGGAGACGGAGGUCAAAGAAGACGCGCGUAAAGGAACCGGUCAGAACAGUGACUUCCUUACUGGAUUUAGGUGACAGGCUGAAAAUUGUUUAUACUUUGGCACGUUGCCUGGGACACAGCAGUGGACAAGUUCGGUUCGGAGAAUUCUAUCCUCCAGUCAUGUUCCUUCUCGGUGAUUAACUAUCAGCUCAUCUGCCAAUCACAUGUUCUGUGGUGACAGCAGCCAGCAAAAAUAACCGAACGGAUUAGUGAUCGCCUAGAUUAUGUAGCUCAAUUUGCAUGCGUAGUUUCAAACGGUAUAAAACGAUGCCUUCGAAGAAAUGGGAGUAGUAAAAAACAUGUGGACUCGAUUUGGGCCGGGCCGCGAUAUCUUCGGUUCUCCACCCUCUUACGCGCAGCGUUUCUUCUCAGUGUCUGCUCAUCACUUGCGUUAGCUUGUAUUGUUUGCCUUCGCUUAAUAUUAGUGCCAUGUUAUCAUGGCUCCAUCGCCCAGUCGAACGCCGGCUAUCAGUUCAAAUUAUGGAUAGUCUAUUGGCUUUGAAUAAUGCGUGUCCUUGCUCUGAUUCCGUUGAGUGUCAUUCCAAGAGUAGGUAUCUAUCAGAAGAAUUUUCAGCAAAUGUCAGUGCUGCUUGAAGUCAACGAGUACUAAUCACAACAUGUGUGAACAUUUGCCAUCCUCCUGCGGUGCACUCUGACCUGCAUUGGAGAGCUGUAUUGCAGCCUGAAGGUCUUCUUCUCUAUUCUACUUCUACAUAUCUACCCACGUGUAUAUGCAGUAUCCUCCGAUGGUUUAGCCCAUGGGCAAUGCAGUUGUCUGCUUCAAUUCUUGGUGUUUCAGAACUAGUAGUACUACUAGAUAUGAUCAGUAUGCUGGGGACAGGACAGUAUGAAUGUACGAUAGAUAAGGUCCUAGAACAUGGGCCACAGGUUAUGCAGAUCGCAGACACGAGUGUUUGGCUGGAACUGAUCUCCGAAUGCGAGACUCCGAGAAACGUUGAUGCCGCUUUCUGUCGAUCACCUUGAGCCAUUGUCCGUCUGCUGGCCUGGCAGGGAAAGUCUACGGAAUGCCAUCUCGAAAGCCAUGGAAAUUCUGUUUUGCCUGACAGAACUCUGGCGUACAUGAGCAACAGCGACCGGAGCGUGGUUUGCCUGCGUGCUUGACUGUAUGGUCACGACGAACACGAGGUGGCGACCAUCCGCCGCGUUAUCCAGGACUGCACCCGUCAGAGAAGGAUCCUUCACUUUUUGGGAAUCCAAUCACUUCGGGAUCCAUCAGAGCAGAAGACACGGCCAUUUCGCCGGCGGCUUUCCCCAUACAGUGCACAUCUCGUGAACUUCCGUCCAUAUUUUCUGGCCAAAUUUGCAAAGGAUUUGUGCUUUUCAGAGUGCAGCAAACGUAGCAAUACCAGGAAACUACGGAGUAGAAUAGGAAGGAACGUACGCCUGUUUGUUCGGGCGGCAAAGUCAGAGCGACACUCUCUCUACUUUGUUUGUUCGUCAGGCCAGGACGCCCGCCAAACCCGACAUGGAUAACUCCAUUAUUGACGAUGGAAAGUAGAAAUCUGACCCCGGGGGCACUAGCAGACGACACUAUCCACAUUGUCUUCACACACCGAGAAUAUGACAAAAUAACAUGCAUUCUUAAUUCACCUAUCGUCCCCAGUACACACCAUCAGAAAACAUCUUCGAUCUUCUAAGGCGUGGAUGCAUUAGGGGUGCGUAUAAAAAUAAUCAUACUCCUUCCGAUACAUAAAAAGUUUCCCACAUUUAGUACAAAAUAUGUACUCCCUCCGUCGAACAAAGGAUGUUUCAACUUUGAUUAAAUUUGAAUGCAUCUAUACACUAAGUCAUGUCUAGAUACAUUUAAAUUUUGACAAACUUGAGACAUCUUUUGUUGGACGGAGGGAGUACUAAUUUUAGUACAAAAUGUGUGACACUUUUUAUGAAUGGGGGGAGUAUCUCCUAGACUCUUUUGAUUCAAAUGAGUUAAUCCUUCAGAAUUUUUUCUAUGUAGGCUUAUUUCAUUCGUAGGAUUAGAUUUUAGUGGAAAUUUGCCUAUGGUUCACUUUGCACUGCAGUGAUGCAAACCAGAUUCCGCGAAAACCCACUUCUAGUUCAUUUUUCAAAUCUUCAAUUCAAAUUUUGAGCAAAAAUUUGGAUAAAAGACUUGAGAAUUGAACUAAAAGUUGACCAUCAAUGGGAUCCCGUUUGCAUCUCUACUGCUCUCAAUUCCAAAGUAAAUUUUCCAUCUAAAUCUAAUCACUUGAAAAAAUUCCUUUGUUUCCAUGAUAACUAUACCAAUGCACGUAAUGUUUUUCUCUGUUUUUCCUCUAAUGCUAGAUUGAGUCUGUUUUUCCUUUAAUGUUUUUCCAACUCGAUUAGUUUAUUCAGGUGGUUUCUUCCUGUAGAAAACAACAUAUCAUGACAUUUCAAUCUUGUGUUUGCUAUUUCAGGGCUCAUUCACUCUACAUGCGUUUUAGAUGAUUUUUCUACAAGAUUUCAACUCUUACACCUUGUUUGGCACAUGUGGGUUUCUUACGUUUUCUAUUUCUACUCUACAAUCUUAAAAUCAUGUUCUCCUUCUGACCUUUGUUCUCAAAUUUAUCUAAAUACGGAUGUAUCUAUGUUUAAAAAAUGUCUAUAUAUAUUUAUAAUAUUUCAGUAACUAAUAUGAAUCGGAGCAACUAACUCGAACGAGCCCUCGGUGUUUGAAUAUUUAAAUACUCCUGAAUGCAAGUAUAGUUCUGCACUCCUACUGCAGCUUGCUACCACGAAACUAAACAUUUCUCUUUCUGCAGCCCCCGACUCGAUCUAGCCGCAGUCCAUGUCGUUCUUUUCGCCCUGGCGUGUGCAAGAGUCGAACCCAUAGUGUGAACAAUUGAGUUAGGCACGAGCCGGAGAGGAGGAGAAAGGACAAAUUAUUGCUCAGAUUAAUCAUCACCUCGAUCGUUGCGGCGCAAUACCGUUAUAUAACGACGGAAUACGGGCCCACACGUCAGUGUAAAGCGAGCUGCUUGCCGCUUUCUCCCUCUUGCGUGACGCCGUCGCCGUCCAGAGCCAUCUGGCCACCGGGCUCCCAGCCCCCCACAGAUGUGCCCCCUGCAUGCGCGCCAUGUAUCAGCCUCUGAUACGUCAGGCCAGGAACCAUCCUCAGCCGUCAGUUCGUCCAUCUCGACGGCUGCGAUCGCGCUGCCGCCACUUAUAAAUAGCACCGAUGCACGCGCGAGAAAGUCCGUUUUACCUUGCUGGGGGGGGGGGGUUUUACUUACAUGAGCGCGGGAAUGGAGGCGGAGCUGGAGGCGGCUCAGCGGCGCUUCCGGCUCUGGUUCCGCGGGCUGCGUUCCCUGCGGCGGGACCUCCGGUCGGCCCGCUGGGCCGGCGACGACCCGGCCCAGCUGGGGAAGCUGGCGGGCGGCUUCGUGGCCCACUUCUCCGACUACUGCGCCGCGCGGGCCGAGCUGGACCCGGUCCUGCUGCUGUCGGCGCCCUGGGCGAGCCCCGCGGAGCGUGGCGCCGCCUACUGGCUGGCCGGGUGGCGGCCGACCACGGUGGUCCACCUGCUGUACACCGAGUCCAGCCGCCGGUUCGAGGCGCAGCUCCCUGACCUGCUCCUGGGCGUGCGGUCGGGCAACCUGGGCGACCUCAGCCCGGCCCAGCUGGCCCAGAUCGACGAGCUCCAGCGCCGCGCCGUCGCCGAGGAAGACGCGCUCUCAAGGGAGAUGGCGCGGCUGCAGGAGGGCCACGGCGUCGUUGGCGGAGACGGGGAUCUGGACGUGGAGGGGAUCGUGAGGCGCGCCGGGGCCGUGGUGGCAGGGGCCGACGCGCUGCGGCUGCGCACCUUGAAGCGCGCCGUGGAGAUCCUCGAGCCGGCGCAGGCCGCCGAGCUGCUCGUCGCCAUGGCCGACAUGGAGAUCGGCUUCCGGGAGUUCGGGCUAAAGCACGGCGACGGCGGUGGCGAGCCGAGCCGCGGCGCGUAGGCAUAGGCGUGGCGCGGUCCAGAGAGCAGAUCCUCAUCCGCAUCGGCGGCUCGGCCCAGUUUUUUUCUUCCAAGUGUUUGCGCUGGUUUGACUGGGACAGAAAGACUGCUCACUGUUGUAAUCUUGUUGCCGUGACGAUUGUCUUUGCCGAACUGUCUCGCGGUGGGUGCUGCGUCGUAGCUGGACCGUGUGCGUGUGCGUGUGCGUGCGCGUGCGCCUGCUGGGAUGUCGUGUGAGAAAGCAAUAAAAUGCAAGGAAUGCAUGCUUGGUUUCGUUGAGAAGUCAUAUUUUGUUUUCGAGCAAGCGGUUUUUUUAACAUCUUUUCCGAUAAAUUGGCUGUUUGUCUGUUCACUACAGAAGACCCGUCCUUUUAAAAACGGUUUUGCUAUUAAUAAAUCCAUGUUUUAGUUAGAGUAGUCAUAGGAUUUUAAUCCAAUGAUAGCAAGUGAGAGAUGAGAGAACGAGGAUGACUCUCAGAUCUCCAGCAGUUAUGAAACGUCGACUGAUAUUUAAGGUUCAUUUUUUAAAAACUUGCGACUUAGAAAUAGCCAUACCCAUUUAAAAAACGUGUUAAAUCUUAUUAAAAUAAGAUUCUGAUCGAUAACUUAUUUUUAAUAGGUAUUGCUACGGAAAAGUUGUUUUUCUAGUUAAAGAUAAGUUGAAACACCAACUGUCAUAUCUUGAUCCAACGGCGGCACAUUGAAGAUGGGGUGUAGCUGCUAGCUUCGGCAUUGAAGAUGGCGUCAUGGUAGGGAGAAGCUAUCAAGUUAUCCGAGAUAGAGGAGGCACUGAUGGAACACAUCCGCUUGCUAGGCUUGUAAUCGGACAAAUAAUUCAAACAGCUUUGCUAUUCAUAAGACAAUUGAGAAAUAAUUAUUUUCAAGCCGACGCUAACAAUCGUUUAAUCCAAUCUCUGAUAUGUGUGAGAUCUAUACAAGUGUUGUUGACUGAAAAUAACUGCUUCCUCCGCGCCUGGAUACUCGUCGUGGUCCGGAAAUCCAACCAGUUGUUCGUUCGAGCCAGAUCCAAACGACACCGGACAGACAACCACGGGCGGUUCUACCGUGCCGCACGGUCACGCGCCCAAUUAACCGGCCACACGGCCAAGCGAAUCCAGGAUUAAAAAUAGGAAUCGCGUACAAUUACCGGCCACCCAGCCAGGCAGCCCGCAACGAUAAACCAGCAGUCUCCCGCUCCAUGUUUGGGAGCCAUGCCCAACUACAAACCCAACGUUUCCAAGCUGGCCGCCGCGCCCCGCGACAUCCACACGGCAGAUUAACCCUUCUUCUCCUUUCCUUCCUUCCUCCCUCUCCGCGCGCGCGCGACCUCCCGCAGACCCGCCUCCGCGAAUCUAGCCACCCCCGCGCGUGCGCCACGCACCGUCCGUCCGUCGGACCUCGGCCGGGCCGGCCCGCGGUCGUCGGCGCGCGGAGGGCGUUCGUGAGAAUGCGUGCGGCGGCGAUUGGUUGCUAGCUAGCUAGCGGCAUGCCUGGCAUGAGCGCGUGAUGGCGCCGCCGUUCCUGAAGACCGGGCACGGCCGCGACAGGUUCUCCUUCAGGCGGCGGAAAUCGUCCUCCUCCUCGUCCUCCUCGUCGACGCCGUCUUCUCCGCUCUCGGUGUCGUCCACAGCGUCGGAGGACAUCGCCGACCCGGGCAGCCCCAUGGAGUCGUCAGCGACGACGGGCAAGACGCUGCCCUGCGCCCGGCGGGCGCUCUCGCGGAGCAGCUGCGGGUCCAGGGGCAAGCUGUCCGUCGACCUGAUCCCGCCGCCGCUCGCCGGCGGCCCGUCCGACGCGCCCAGGUCCUCCACCUCCGCCGCGCCGCCCCCCAAGCCUCCCCCCCGCAACGAGGGCCCGCCUUCAGGUCUCACCAUUGUUAAUUUUCUAGUGUCUGUCUGACUUUCUGUCGUCAAAUGCAGAGAAAUGCCUUGUUAUGUUUUCGUGAUCGAUUGCAUGUAUCCAGAUGCUGACAUCGUGAGGGACAAGUUCUCCAAGCUGCUGCUGGGGGAGGACAUGUCCGGCACCGGCAAAGGGGUGUCCUCUGCCCUCGCUCUCUCCAACGCCAUCACCAAUCUUGCAGGUAAUCUCUCCCUUACCUUCCAUUUCCGAUCUUUCCAUUUCCAAUAACAGUCCCUGUCUUUCAAAUCUUCCCAUUCUGUCCGUUGGGUUCUGAUGGAUACUGACACGAUCAGCUAUGAUUUCUUUCUCAUGACGUGGCACAUUGCAGCUUCCGUGUUCGGUGAGCAGCGGCGUCUCCAGCCGAUGGCCGCAGAGCCGAAGGCCCGAUGGACAAAAGAAAUUGACUGGCUUCUGUCCGUUGCCGACCACAUCGUCGAAUUCGUUCCUUCACGUCAGGUGUCCGAGGAUGGCUCCACCAUGGAGGUCAGAAACAAGAGGAUCCUUGCUUAUCACAAGUACCUGGAUGUAGUUCUGUAUCACGGAACAUCUUUAUGCAAAUCCAAUUACAGCGGUGCUAUUUUUCUCUCUCUCCCCCCAAACAGAUAAUGAUGACUCAGCAGCGUAAGGAUCUGCAGAUGAACAUCCCCGCACUGCGCAAGCUCGACGGGAUGCUCCUUGUAAAGCUCUGCCACAUUCUUCUUUGAAAUCAUUUACGAGAAUGACAUGCGUGGAGAUACCUGAUGAAUUGCUAAUAUGCUAUGGCUGCACAUUUCCUGUUGUGGGGGCACAGAGCUAUCUUGACAGCUUCAGGGACAAGCAGGAGUUUUGGUACGUGUCGAAAGACGCAGAUGACUCGGAGAAGGGAGACGCGCCGAAGCAGGAUGACAAGUGGUGGCUCCCGACUGUCAGGGUCCCUCCUAAUGGUCUGUCGGACUCGUCGAGGAGGUGGCUUCUACACCAGAGGGAGCUCGUCGGCCAAGUCCAUAAGGCAACAAUGGCCAUCAAUGCUAAUGUUCUUAUGGAGAUGGAUGUUCCAGAAGCCUAUAUGGAGUCUCUGCCUAAGGUGACCCAUAUGAACACAGCAACAUUGCAUAACAUUUUUCUUUACUUCGGUUCACUGCAUUUAGAGGGAUCGAGACUCACUUUGACAGCAUCUUCUUUUUUUAUGCUUGAUAGAAUGGAAAGUCUAGCCUUGGAGACUCAAUGUACAAGCUUAUAACUGACGAAUAUUUUGACCCAGAAGAACUCAUAGCAUCAGUAGACUUGUCAGCCGAGUACAGCAUCGUUGAUCUGAAGAACCGAAUCGAAGCCUCGAUUGUCAUUUGGCAGAAGAAAAUGACGCAGAAGGAUGCCAAGAUGUGGGGGCAUGGUGUCAGUCAUGAGAAGCGGGGACGGUUUGAGGGGAGGGCGGAGAAUGUUCUUCUCCUCCUUAAGCACAGAUUCCCCGGAAUUUCUCAGUCAGCUCUGGACAUAAGCAAAAUCCAGUACAACAGGGUACUGGCAACCAUCUUCAAUUUUCCACUGUAUUUUCGGAUUUCCUACAGUACUUUAUUACUCAUGCUCAUUGCAUACAUUUUCUCGUUGUGAUUUUUUUGCAGGAUGUUGGCAGUGCCAUUUUGGAGAGCUACUCCAGGACUCUUGAGAGUCUAGCAUACACGGUUAUGUCUCGCAUCGAAGACGUUCUUCGCGCCGACUCCCUUGCUCAAGACCCCAAGAACGCGGAGGCGACGAGAAUGCCGAGCUUAUCAUCAGAUGACACAGACACGGUCGUCCAAGAUGCCAAGGACGAGGUGGAGAGGCUGGGAAGAAUGGAGCCUCUGAACUCGACACUAUUCGACUACGUGGGCCCACGGGACGGAGAUAUCGGGCCCAUGAUGUCGGAUUCACAGGAACCUCGGGGUGCAAAGCUGUCAAAGGUUUCGUCGAUCGCAACCAAGAGGUUCUCCUACCUAGAUAAGCUUGAGAAUUUGGGUGGAACAAGGAGCCCCAUAUCUAGACACUAGUCGCUGCCGUAGGGGAAAAGACGAUCAAUAUGGUGUUGAUGUUGCUGCAGAGACUCCGGGGAAAACUGCACGUAAAUAGCUCCGCAAAAACUGAGGGUGCAGCAUGCAUUGUGAGGUUUAUGUAAGCUUUCAAGCUUUCAGGCACCAAUACCUCCAAUUUGGUGCAGUUGCCAAGACAAUGUGAUGACGAUUCUCCUGCUAAAUUUACAUGAAAUAACCACAAGAUUCUGACACUGGACCUGAAAAUGGACCUCCAGAUUUUCUUACUGUACUUCUGUAGCAAAGUUUUGUGGUUCCAGUAAAGUGUUUGUUAUCUUAGACUUGACUUGCAGACCAUGCUUGGGUUCGGCUAGUGUUCUCCCCACGUACAAUUUAAGAGGGUAAUAACAUAUCACUGAACUUGGAGAUCGAUCUGUGUUAGCUUCUGGCGUUCUAGAUCGGCACUGUAAUAAGUAACUGUAACUGUACCAUGGCUCUAUGCAUUGGGAAAUUAAAACCACUCGUAUGAGUAAAUCAAUUUACAGGAACAAAUGAGCAGUAAAAAGCAUCCUUCCGGUUGCUGAUAGUACGUGCAGCUAGGCACGCCAUAUGAGUACAUACAACGAAGGACUUAACGUCCAGAUACGCAGAUCCAUGGUACACAAGCACAGGCAUAUGCAGGAACAGAUUCAGAGAGAGAGAGAGAGAGAAAGAAACUGAAACCAAAGCUUUAAUCAAAUCAGAUCAGAUCUUGCCGCGUGGGCCGGGGGUGGGGGGAAGCUGCGGCCCCUUCUUGAUGGGCAGCAGGUCCGGCGACGUGGUGGCGCCGAGGUAGGCGAUCAGGGACCCGCCGCCGAGGAGCAGGAACUUGAGCAGCAGGCCGCGCUUGGUGAAUGGCGCCGCGAAGGUCUGGAAGAACUUGCUCUGCAGCCCGUUGUAAGGGGACGGCGCGUCGGACCCGUACAGGUCCCACUGCCCCGUCGUGUUGCCGAUGUCGUCCAGGUCGAAGUACACGCUCUUCUCCCCGUACUUCGCCUGCACCGCGACGCCUCGUGCAGGCCUGCAGGCGUACGCGCACGCGUAUAUAUACGGUUAUUUAUACGUAUGUACAUACGCUCGAUCGAUGACAUAUUAGCUCGCUUCACGUGCGUACCUG